Molecule: non-coding RNA, 5452 nt
Organism: Taeniopygia guttata (zebra finch)
Lineage: Eukaryota; Metazoa; Chordata; Aves; Passeriformes; Estrildidae
Source: RefSeq, a predicted model, not a curated record
CCCCCCCAGGAAAUAUUAAGUGAGAUUAAAGAAGCUGAAAAUUUAGGACAGGUAUUAAUAGAAGGAGAUUUCAACUGUCCAUACACAGCAUGGGUGAGUGCCUCAUCAGGAUGAGAUACAAUGAGAAAGUUUUCAAUGGAGUAAGUACAUAGUUGCUUCCUAGAACAAUUAAUCCUAAAUCCUGCAAGAAAAGAUGCUAUUUUGGAUUUAUCCUGAAGUGGUGCCAGGACCAGGAGGAUUUAGUGGCAGAGAUCACUGAUAGGAAGUACAAUACAAUUAGUUUUAACAUCACAGCAGGAAAAAAUCAAGGCAUGUAUGUGGAUAUUUAGUUUCAAGAGAGGGAUAAAUAUGAGGGUGCAGUUCGAAAAGGGAAGAAAACUGCAUGGAGACUGGAGGCUGUUAAUAACAGUAUCUUAGAAGAUUAAAAAAACCCAUACAGUUGUCCCCUAAAUCACCAGCAGAAUCAGUAGGAAGAUUAAACAACAUAUCACAGGACAUGACUGGCAUCUGAGAAAUGGAACUCUUGCUCAAAUGAAGAGAAUGGGGAAGGCUGUAAAGUCUGUCAGGUCAAGUGUAAAGAGAAAAUUGGGUUUUCUGAUGAAGCCAUGAUGCUUUGGGUAGUUGGAUGCCACAGGGAUGGUGAGGAACUCCAGACAGACCUCAUAAAAAUGACUGAGUGUCAAAAACGGGCAUACAAGCUCCAGUGUAGAUAAAUGUACAGUAAUCCAUCAAGGGAAAAUUAAACCAUGCCUUCAUGAUGCUAAACUCCAGGACUGGGAGUUGUAUCUUGGGGGAGAGAUCUCAGAGUCAUGGUUGGCAGCUAUUUGGGAUCAUGGGUUCAGGGUGCAGUGGCAUUCAAAGCAAGCCCCUUGUGUGUGGCUGGGGAGGGUGCUGAGAACCAGGUGUGUGGUGGUGUAUUUGUAUUGCUGCUGUAGGUGCACCUGUGCCAGGGCAAUGCACAUGCAGUUCAGGACAGAGAGAAGAUCCAGAGAAAAGCAGCUAAAAUGACUGAAAAGAUGGAGCAGGUCCUUAUGUGAAAAUACUUCAUGAGCUGGGUUUUCAUCCACAAAGCAAAAGGAGAAGGGAGGUGAGGGUAUGUUUAAACUAGCAGGUGGUUGGGUUAAUACACAGUGAUUUAAAUCCAACUAAAAGUAUCCAGCUGGAAGUAAGAAAGAAAAGAAGAUAAUUUAGCUAGAAGAAAGUAUUUUUUGUACUUGGCAGAUAGUCCAUGUCCUUUUUAUGCUGGAACUGUAGGUACACAGUUUGUGGUCAUUGGGAGUGGGGCUGUGGCUGAGCCUCAUCCCCAGUGGGCUCAGCUGUGAGAAGCAGGUGAGCAGCACUGACAGCAAUGAGCCAUGGAUGCCCAGGGGCACUGAGCAGCCAGCAAAGGGAACAGAGGGCACACAGGGGCACUGCAUGAACCAUGAGGGGUACAAAAUGUUGGGCUAGAGACAAGAAGGGCAGAUACGUUGAGCCUUCUGAAGUGGUGUGGUGUUACUCUAUGGUGGUUGAAGCUUUCUCAUAUUGUAUGGUGAGACUGUGCAUUGUGGCUGUCUUAACUGUGACAUAUGGUGUGACAGAGGAGCCCAGUGCUGACUGUGAGUGCUCAGGUGGGGUCUCAUGAGACCAGAGGGGCAGAAUGACCUCCCUUGACCUGCUGCCCACACUGCUUUUGGUGCAGCUCAGGACAUGUUUGGCUCUCUGAGCUGUGAGAGCACAGUGGUGGGCCAGUGACUGAGCUCCUCAUCCACCAACACCCCCAACUCCUUCUCCACAGAGCUGCUCUUGAUCCAUUCUCCAACCAGCCUGUGCUUGUGCUUGGGAUUGCCCUGACCCAACUGCAGGACCUCAUACCUGGCCUUGUUCAACUUUGUGAGGUUCACACUGGCCCAACUCUCAAGCCUGUCCCUCUGGAAGUUCCCUUCCCUCUGCUGUGUUGAACACACCACAGAGCUUGGUGUCAUCAGCAAGCCUGCUGGGGUUGUGCAGGACAAUGUCAAAUGCAUUGUGUAAAUCCAGAGGGGAUCAGGAGUUUGAAAAAAAUCCCACUUUCCCCCACCCUGCUUAGAAAGCUUUGUUGGAAGGCUGACUCUGGGAGUCAGUGUUUGGAAAAGGACCAGGAAUCACAGGAGUGGGCACUGCCUCAAAUCCCCUGCUAAUAAACACACCAACUGAAGCCAGGUGGUAAAAGUGCAUUUUUAUCAUGUUUUAUGCAGAUUAAUGAUUCCAAUAAGCAUUUUUCUUCUUUAUGUAUGUUCAGGGCAGCAUUUGUGCAACAUCUAAGAAAAUGUAGUGAGCUUUCUCUGGCUUUCUCAGUGCUGCACUCAAAGACUGGCUUUGUCAGAUCUGCCUCAACCUCUUCUCAUAUUUGCCAUUUGUAUGAGCCACAAGACUGCAGUAAGACAGUGGUUGCUGAUCCCUGAGGGGUCUGGUUUUCCCUUGGUGUGUCUGUGGCUCCUUCCACCAUAACAGAGUUAUUUGUGCAUUUGGAGGGAAUUAGUUAAUGACCUGUGAUGCUCAAUCCACAGGGCCACAGAUUGUCUCUGUGACAGCCACACUUUCUGGAGUGCUUUUGUCUUGAUUAAGUUUUGGUGUGUGGUAAAAACAAAUGUUACUGCCCUCAUUUCAAGAUGAGAAACCUGAACUGUUGCCUGUUUGUUGGGUAAAUAAUGUGAGAUGCUGCAGAGUAGGUAAUUUAUUGUAUAGUUGGGGUGCUGUGGUUCAACAAGACCCCUCCUCAGCCGUGCUCUUGGAGGGGCUGUGGUGACCUCUUAACCUGGGCAGCUGCUGGGAAAUGGGCUUAGCCUCAGAGGAGAGGUAAUUAAGCUGGCACAGGUGAGAUUAUGUGUGCACACAUUUCCCACGACUUAGUGAACUUGUCUGUAACAUUUCUAAGCUUCUGAUGCUGGAUGUGGGCACUGGCCUGGUGAUCUGCUCAGGUCCAUGAGGUUGGGACUCAGGCCCCACCACAUGCCCAAGUCUUCCCAAAGCUGUCAGGAAUAUUAGGAGCAGUUCUGGAGGGAGAACAGGGCAGCCUGAAGGCUUUGCUAAGCCCUUGCUUUGUCAAGGAGCUUCCCUGGCUGUUGUGCAGAAUCUGUGCUGGUAUUUAUACCUGUGGCCAUUGUGCUGUGUGCUCUGGUUUUCCAUCAGCUCAAGAGAAGCCCUCAUCCCAGGGCUCAAUCUGGGGGUGGUAUACAGUGUCUGGGAGUGACUCAUGCAGCUGCUGUGUGGCACAUCUAGUCCUCUCCAGAUGUAAAAUUAAACACAUGCUUUUAAUGUUAUCUUGACCUAGACUAAUGUUGCUAUUUCAGGGUUUUAUGUCAGAGGCACAAAAAACCUGGAAAUCACUGAUGGAAAAGACCUAUUAGAUCAUCCCUUCCAUCCACAGGGUUGUUCCCUGCAAAAUAUUCUCCAUCAUUUUGUCCAAAGCAGUCAAAAUUUACUCAAGUGAGAGGGUUCCCAACGCUUCUCCAGGGGAACUCUUACAUCUUCCAGGAUGCCAGGGAGGAUUCAUUCAUCCCCAGGCUACAGUCCAAAGUUAAUUUUACCUCAUUUAAACCUCUCUCCCAAGUUCAAGUCCCCAAGACUGGUCCUGCUCUUCCUGCUGUUCAUACCCAGCACUGUACAGGGAGGUGAACACAGGCUGCUCAGCCACCUGUAAUAGGGUGAAUUUGCAAUCAACCUUCAAAUAAUUCCCCAGGGCCUCUCCAGCUGUACCCCUGUCACAAGGGUGGUGUAGGAUGGAAAGCCUCAUAUCCCAGGGCUGCAUUUCCUCCAUCCCUCUGAGGCACAAACUCCCCACAGGGAAUUUUUUUGUUUUGUUGAAAUGUCUCCUUUGCUGCUUCAUGGGAUAUACACACCCAGACUGAGAGCCCAGCUGUAUUUAUUUUUAAAGGAAAAGACAAAAUUCCCACUGAAUGGGAGAGGGCUGCUGCAAAGUGGGUGGUGGCUACCUGAUGGACAAGAGCUGGAUUAGACCAUGUAGAUUUGGCUAUGUAUUUGGGCUGCUGGGAACACCACCUCUUCCAUCAAACCUUAUUUCUGAGAUGUUGCAGGCUGCUAACAACCUCUGCUAACAAGUGCUCUAACAUCACCAAGACAUCUAUUUUUAAUAUAAAAUGCAGUUGCAAAAAAAAGAGGUCCCCACAUAACAGAUUUUGCAGAUAAAUUGGAAAAGAAAAUAAUCUCUGUCUGCAGGGCAGGGACUGUGUGUGCCAGCUCCCUGCUUUGGCCCAGCUCUGUGUCCCAUGUCACCCUCACAUCCCCUGGGAGUGGAAAUGGAAACCUCUGCUCUGAGCUCUGGCAGUACAAGUGGAUACCAGGGGAAUGUUUUUGCCAGUACUUAGCAGGAGCCAGUUCUUGCUUGCCUGCAGCAGUUAAACUCAUGAGUGCUCUGAGCCUGCACAGCCCCCCUGGCACUAGCUGAAUAGGUGUUUGUGGUUGGUUUGGGGUUUUUUUUUGCACCGGGGUAAUUUUCUUCUAGGGCUUCUAAGCACUCAUCUGUGAAACAUGAAAUUGCCUGACCCUGAAGCUCAUCCCUGGAUUGGUGAGAUCCAUAAGCUUGAAAAGAACAAUAUUUCCUUUCUUUUUUACUCAGAGGAGUCCUCAAACUGCAGUCACUCAGCAGACAGCAAUUUUCAGCUGUCUUUCCUUUAUGUUUUCAGUAGGAUAUGAAAGUGUAAAUUUACAGCCAAGGAUCACAAAAUGAUGCCUCGCUCUGUGAUCUUUCCUGAGCAAGCUCUAUGUAGACAACACAGCUGUCCCUCUGAGGAGCUGCAGUAUAAAUGGCUGCCCUGGAGGACCCAUCCAAGAUGCCUGGGAUGGCUCCAGGCUGCACACAAGGGAUGUGACAGGACAGGCUGUUCAGUGCCAUCACCUGGGGAUAUCUCACCUGACAGAGAUCCUAGGAAAACUGAGAUCCCAGAGCUUUGCCAGGGCUGGUGCAGACCCUCUCAAACAUUACAGGAUACAGGUGCACAAGUGGAAGGAGAGAGGAAAAGGUCCUCAAGGAGAACUUUGAUUCAUUUUGAGCUUGUGCUAGGGGACAGAGCUGAAGAGUGAAAAAACAACCUUUUGCUCCUCCUAAAAAUUCUAGUAUUUUUACUGAAAUCUGCUUGACCUGGCUCCAAUCCCCAUGGUGUAGCUCUACCUUCCUCCCAUACAGCUGCCUCCUACUAGCCAUAUUCCCCCAGAUCACUUCCAUUAAUCUUUCCAUAUUCAUCUGACCUUCUGAUGUCUCAUUUAUUUUUCUCUGUUUGCAUUUAUUUGCUUUGCAAAUCCCUCAGGCCAGAAGCUGUCUCUAUAAAGUGUAUGGUGAUUGUCCAGUAGAAUUUCAGGGUGUAAUUUAAGUCCACAAAAAAUGGCAGUUCCAAUCAUAUAGCCUGCUUUUACAGGUUGCUCUCCAUGUGACUUGAGCCGACUUUUAAAAUCAAAGUUAACUUCUAUAACAAAA